CACGCACUAGAUGCUGUCACAGCGCUUCUACCUGACUUGGCAACGCCGCCGGAGCUGACGGCGCAGAAGGUAUCUUCGCCUGCCGUGAAGGAGAGAACGGAAGCUGGGGUCGAGCACGCAACAGGAAAAAAUCACCUCUCAUGACUUGCGAGUCCUUGUCCAAAUUAUCGAAGAGCCUCAACAGAGCCUCUGCAAUGAGUGCUGCACCCAUGGCACAGAGAGUGACCGCAUCCCCUCCAACUGCACAAGCUGCCGCGCCCGCAACCUCAAUCACAAUCCCAUCGAAGCCUCCUGCGCUGGUCACGAUGACGUAUAACGGGUACGCUGUUGUUCGUCGAGGCGAUGGACGCGAAAGAAUGACAACAGGAACACGGUCUGGCGCAUGGAUGUGACUGGGCACAUCACGUAUCCACCGGUGGACGGAGUCCUCACUCCCACUUGCGACCGCGAGGUGGAGUUUUUCCUUUUGUGCGUGUUUGUUUUUCGCCCUCCACCUCUGACAGGGGAGCCUCUGGCGGCGGCGAUGGCGCCGGCAACACUACCACCGCAACGCAGCGACAGCACGGCUACGACAAAGUCAAUGCACGCGACAGCACCGACGACUGUGAGUAGGGUACCGGAGACCCUCGACCAGGCAGCCACCCGAAUGCUGUGUUCACACACACCACGGCGAUGAUACAAUCGAAACAGAGGCAGCAAGGAUCUCCCAGCGGCGGCUGUUAGCCCAUCGUUCUCGGACCGCCUGUAUAUCCCCGUUACUCCGCAAAGCAGCCAGGUGACUCCUGUUUCCUUUUUGUUUUCGUCUUUGCUUGUUUUUUUUUUCAUCAACCCCCCAUUUUGUUGUCCUGACGUCUUAUGUUCUCCACCCCGUGUGUGUGUGUGGGGGGGGGGGGUUCUCAUGGUCAAUCCGGUGUGCGUGUGUGAUGUUACUGUCCUUUGACUCGCUCGCGCGGCUGCUUGUAAGGGGCGUAUUGCGGCGGCUGCUGUGUGCAUUCGCGGGUGGCGGUGGUGGUGUUCGCCCUUCUCUCUUACUUACUCCCUCUCACCGUGUGUAUUAAUGCGCUGUCUUCCCUCCUCCUGCGCCUACGAUAUUCUAAGGCGGUACGAAUGCGCGUGUGAGUGUGCGAUGUACAUGCUGAGGGCAAGGCGCUGUGCGGGAGGGAGGAGUGUGUAAGGGCCAGAAAAGCAGGUUGAUCGUGUGUGAGCAGCAACGGCACGCGUAGCACAAAAAGUUGCAUGAGUACAGGGCAACCCUCAUCUUCACUUGGGUGCUUCACUUCUUGGAGGUGCGUGUGCGAACCGCGCCCCGCAGCGCCGACUCGUUUCUCCUUUCCCUCAACUUUAUUUUUCCCUCCACCUUCCGACCAUGUCGUCUGGUGGCACGCAUCACCAUCGCUCCGACUGCUGCCGCUGUGCCUUCUCCAUGUCUGCCCCACCUUGUCUGUCUCCGCGACUUUGUGCAUCGUCUCCCUUCGACCCUACAUCGCACCCGCCACCACUGUCUCUGCCAUCUGCCGCUUCUUC
Molecule: unclassified non-coding RNA, 1524 nt
Filed under: Leishmania donovani
Lineage: Eukaryota; Euglenozoa; Kinetoplastea; Trypanosomatida; Trypanosomatidae
Description: gene:unknown
Source: RNAcentral